UUGACGACAGUCAGCGUGCAUGUGGUCC
Molecule: small RNA, 28 nt
Filed under: Bombyx mori (domestic silkworm)
Lineage: Eukaryota; Metazoa; Arthropoda; Insecta; Lepidoptera; Bombycidae
Description: ovarian small RNA-37689
Source: RNAcentral